This 922-nucleotide ribosomal RNA is filed under the name uncultured Basidiomycota. Its description in RNAcentral is "eukaryotic LSU rRNA". It matches the Rfam family "Eukaryotic large subunit ribosomal RNA", at positions 1 to 907 of the family's 3401-position model. The record is from RNAcentral. Lineage: Eukaryota; Fungi; Basidiomycota.
AUCUGACAUCAAAUCAGGUAGGACUACCCGCUGAACUUAAGCAUAUCAAUAAGCGGAGGAAAAGAAACUAACAAGGAUUCCCCUAGUAACUGCGAGUGAAGCGGGAAAAGCUCAAAUUUAAAAUCUGGUAGUCUUUGGCUGCCCGAGUUGUAAUCUAGAGAAGCGUUAUCCGCGCUGGACCGUGUAUAAGUCUCCUGGAAUGGAGCGUCAUAGAGGGUGAGAAUCCCGUCUUUGACACGGACUACCAGGGCUUUGUGAUGCGCUCUCAAAGAGUCGAGUUGUUUGGGAAUGCAGCUCUAAAUGGGUGGUAAAUUCCAUCUAAAGCUAAAUAUUGGCGAGAGACCGAUAGCGAACAAGUACCGUGAGGGAAAGAUGAAAAGAACUUUGGAAAGAGAGUUAAACAGUACGUGAAAUUGUUGAAAGGGAAACGCUUGAAGUCAGUCGCGUUGGCUUGGAAUCAGCCUUGCUUUUGCUUGGUGUACUUCCUGGUUAACGGGUCAGCAUCAAUUUUGAUCGGUGGAAAAAGGCCAGUUGAAUGUGGCAUCUCCGGAUGUGUUAUAGCUUCUGGUCGUAUACAUCGGUUGGGAUUGAGGAACUCAGCACGCCGCAAGGUCGGGGUUCGCCCACGUUCGUGCUUAGGAUGCUGGCAUAAUGGCUUUAAUCGACCCGUCUUGAAACACGGACCAAGGAGUCUAACAUGCCUGCGAGUGUUUGGGUGGAAAACCCGAGCGCGUAAUGAAAGUGAAAGUUGAGAUCCCUGUCGUGGGGAGCAUCGACGCCCGGACCAGACCUUCUGUGACGGAUCCGCGGUAGAGCAUGUAUGUUGGGACCCGAAAGAUGGUGAACUAUGCCUGAAUAGGGUGAAGCCAGAGGAAACUCUGGUGGAGGCUCGUAGCGAUUCUGACGUGCAAAUCGAUCGUCA